RNAcentral lists this ribosomal RNA (465 nucleotides) under Vreelandella stevensii. RNAcentral's name for it is "partial 16S ribosomal RNA". It matches the Rfam family "Bacterial small subunit ribosomal RNA", at positions 338 to 795 of the family's 1533-position model. The record is from RNAcentral. Lineage: Bacteria; Pseudomonadati; Pseudomonadota; Gammaproteobacteria; Oceanospirillales; Halomonadaceae.
CCUACGGGGGGCAGCAGUGGGGAAUAUUGGACAAUGGGGGGAACCCUGAUCCAGCCAAGCCGCGUGUGUGAAGAAGGCCCUCGGGUUGUAAAGCACUUUCAGUGAGGAAGAACGCCUGGUGGUUAAUACCCAUCAGGAAAGACAUCACUCACAGAAGAAGCACCGGCUAACUCCGUGCCAGCAGCCGCGGUAAUACGGAGGGUGCGAGCGUUAAUCGGAAUUACUGGGCGUAAAGCGCGCGUAGGUGGCUUGAUAAGCCGGUUGUGAAAGCCCCGGGCUCAACCUGGGAACGGCAUCCGGAACUGUCAAGCUAGAGUGCAGGAGAGGAAGGUAGAAUUCCCGGUGUAGCGGUGAAAUGCGUAGAGCUCGGGAGGAAGACCAGUGGCGAAGGCGGCCUUCUGGACUGACACUGACACUGAGGUGCGAAAGCGUGGGUAGCAAACAGGAUUAGAUACCCGGGUAGUC